RNAcentral lists this long non-coding RNA (962 nucleotides) under Marmota monax (woodchuck). The record is from RNAcentral. Lineage: Eukaryota; Metazoa; Chordata; Mammalia; Rodentia; Sciuridae.
UCCAUUCUCACAUUGCUGAGAUGCCCUCUGUUCUGUUCUCCCACUGGGCCUCGCUUUCUUGUAGGUCACAGGAUUUUCCUUCUGGUUGAGCUGAGAAGAGCAGAACAGCCACAUCACCAGGUCACCAGGAGCCGCAGCAACCCUUUCGUUUCCCCAGGAAGGCCAACAGUCCCUCCGCUGAGGGAGGGCAGCAGGACCCAGGCCAGUACCUGCAUAUGGUGAUUACCCAGAAGCUGUCCGUUUUAGGAACAGUGAAUUCAGGAACUGCUUGACUUUAUGUUAAAUGUUGGAGAAAUGUCAUCUUUCCCAGGCAGAGAAAAAUAAUGCAGAAAGAGUGUUAUUUUGUUUGGAGGUAGACAAAGGACUAGCUGACUUCUGGCUGUCCCUACAAUCCCGCGAAUCCAUUUCAUUUCACAUGGUCCUCAUGUGGGGAAACAGAAUCCAUUUUUCUUUGUCAUUAAAAUUCUAAAGAACAUUAUAUAGAUGUUAAUGAAAGUCUAGUUUGCUCAUCAGGUGAGAAAAAUCUAUGUAGAUUGGUAGAUGAGUCUUGCAAAUUCAAGGUCUGCUUUUCAUUAGAUUAGACAGCACUGCCACCUUGUGGGUGCUGAGAGUUCCUCGUGGAGCUGCGUGCCACGGCUAUUUCUUGGUAAAUUACUGUGAAUAAGGUCAUUUGCAUUCUGAAAUCGAAUCUAAACAGGGUACUUCAAGGAGAAUUCUGUGGCCUGGUAUUUACUGUCACUCAGGAAUUCGGGCUCACUACUUAUAAAGGCAGAGAUUUCCAGUAAGAAAAGUUCAAUACUCCUUUGUAUUUUUUUUCUUUACAACACAGUCCCAGGAAGGGUGUACGGCAGUACUGUGUCCAUGUCCAACACGUGCUUGAAUAAAUUAUUUUCUCUAUGUGCUCGCAUUAUCAAAGUGGAACACAGGGUGGCUCUUUUUUCCUUCAUUUCCUUCCUCCCUCC